GCCCCCAUCGUCUAGUGGCCUAGGACACCUCUCUUUCAAGGAGGCGACGGGGAUUCGACUUCCCCUGGGGGUA
Molecule: transfer RNA, 73 nt
Filed under: Brachythecium rutabulum
Lineage: Eukaryota; Viridiplantae; Streptophyta; Bryopsida; Hypnales; Brachytheciaceae
Also listed under: 3 other names
Description: transfer RNA-Glu
Rfam family: tRNA
About the family: Transfer RNA (tRNA) molecules are approximately 80 nucleotides in length. Their secondary structure includes four short double-helical elements and three loops (D, anti-codon, and T loops). Further hydrogen bonds mediate the characteristic L-shaped molecular structure. tRNAs have two regions of fundamental functional importance: the anti-codon, which is responsible for specific mRNA codon recognition, and the 3' end, to which the tRNAs corresponding amino acid is attached (by aminoacyl-tRNA synthetases). tRNAs cope with the degeneracy of the genetic code in two manners: having more than one tRNA (with a specific anti-codon) for a particular amino acid; and 'wobble' base-pairing, i.e. permitting non-standard base-pairing at the 3rd anti-codon position.
Source: RNAcentral